UGGCGGCGUGCUUAACACAUGCAAGUCGAACGAAGCACCUUAUUCUGAUUUCUUCGGAAUGAAAAAUUUGGUGACUGAGUGGCGGACGGGUGAGUAACGCGUGGGUAACCUGCCUCAUACAGGGGGAUAACAGUUAGAAAUGACUGCUAAUACCGCAUAAGACCACAGCACCGCAUGGUGCAGGGGUAAAAACUCCGGUGGUAUGAGAUGGACCCGCGUCUGAUUAGGUAGUUGGUGGGGUAACGGCCUACCAAGCCGACGAUCAGUAGCCGACCUGAGAGGGUGACCGGCCACAUUGGGACUGAGACACGGCCCAAACUCCUACGGGAGGCAGCAGUGGGGAAUAUUGCACAAUGGGGGAAACCCUGAUGCAGCGACGCCGCGUGAGCGAUGAAGUAUUUCGGUAUGUAAAGCUCUAUCAGCAGGGAAGAAAAUGACGGUACCUGACUAAGAAGCACCGGCUAAAUACGUGCCAGCAGCCGCGGUAAUACGUAUGGUGCAAGCGUUAUCCGGAUUUACUGGGUGUAAAGGGAGCGUAGACGGAGUGGCAAGUCUGAUGUGAAAACCCGGGGCUCAACCCCGGGACUGCAUUGGAAACUGUCAAUCUAGAGUACCGGAGAGGUAAGCGGAAUUCCUAGUGUAGCGGUGAAAUGCGUAGAUAUUAGGAGGAAUACCAGUGGCGAAGGCGGCUUACUGGACGGUAACUGACGUUGAGGCUCGAAAGCGUGGGGAGCAAACAGGAUUAGAUACCCUGGUAGUCCACNCCGUAAACGCCCCCUAUUGGGUGUUGGGCAGCAAAGCUUUUCGGUGCCGCCAGCAAACGCAAUAAGUAGUCCCCCUGGGGAGUACGUUCGCAAGAAUGAAACUCAAAGGAAUGGACGGGGACCCGCACAAGCGGUGGAGCAUGUGGUUUAAUUGGAAGCAACGCGAAGAACCUUACCUGCUCUUGACAUCUCCCUGACCGGCAAGUAAUGUUGCCUUUCCUUCGGGACAGGGAUGACAGGUGGUGCAUGGUUGUCGUCAGCUCGUGUCGUGAGAUGUUGGGUUAAGUCCCGCAACGAGCGCAACCCCUAUCUUUAGUAGCCAGCGGUUCGGCCGGGCACUCUAGAGAGACUGCCAGGGAUAACCUGGAGGAAGGUGGGGAUGACGUCAAAUCAUCAUGCCCCUUAUGAGCAGGGCUACACACGUGCUACAAUGGCGUAAACAAAGGGAGGCAGAACCGCGAGGUCGAGCAAAUCCCAAGAAUAACGUCUCAGUUCGGAUUGUAGUCUGCAACUCGACUACAUGAAGCUGGAAUCGCUAGUAAUCGCGAAUCAGAAUGUCGCGGUGAAUACGUUCCCGGGUCUUGCACA
RNAcentral lists this ribosomal RNA (1352 nucleotides) under uncultured bacterium. Its description in RNAcentral is "16S ribosomal RNA". It matches the Rfam family "Bacterial small subunit ribosomal RNA", at positions 37 to 1387 of the family's 1533-position model. The record is from RNAcentral.